RNAcentral lists this transfer RNA (357 nucleotides) under uncultured Microcystis sp. Its description in RNAcentral is "partial 16S-23S ribosomal RNA intergenic spacer". The stretch from base 133 to 206 matches the Rfam family "tRNA". Lineage: Bacteria; Bacillati; Cyanobacteriota; Cyanophyceae; Chroococcales; Microcystaceae. The record is from RNAcentral.
AAGGGAGACCUAAUUCGGGUAGAAGACGAAAAAAUAGUAGUCGAAACCAAGAAUCAAUCCCAAAAGGUCGGAACGAGGUAUGUGGCUUUCAAACUAGGUUCUGGGUUCACAAAAGACCUGAAUCAGGAACAAGGGCUAUUAGCUCAGGUGGUUAGAGCGCACCCCUGAUAAGGGUGAGGUCCCUGGUUCGAGUCCAGGAUGGCCCACCUGCACAGGUGGCAAAAACAAGAGAAACGAGGAAUCAGCACCUUAUCUUACUUACAUAGUAAGAGAGAAUGCUGGCUCUGAGUAAAGAGUCCAGAGGAACCUUGAAAACUGCAUAGAGCUAGGUGAAAAAGCUAAAAAAGAAGACCGCAA